UAAAACGUGUAACAAUAUGUAUUUGUUAAUACAUUUGUAUUAUAUUCUGUUAUUUUUGUAUCUGGCAGUGAUAUUAUUUGAAUUUUGUUUCAUAAAAUCUUUGGUACUAAGUUCACAAGAUUAUUUUUUUUUAUAUUAAAAAAUCAUCUUUUAAUAUUGUAUUGUAGGGUAAAAAGUGAUGGGCAUUACAUUUUGUAAAUUUAUAGUACAUGAUUUAUAACCUAAGAAAUCACAUUUCAAAGUAAACAAUCAUUUUACAAGAGUUGACAAUUUUUCAAGUUGGAAAACAAAUUUGUUUUGUUAUAAUGAAGGGAUCUGAAUGACUCUAGGCCUAGACGAAUAAAAAGUUUCAUUAAUAAUUUUUGUUUACAUCUGGUCUAAUUGUGGUACAAAGUUCAUAAAUGACGAUCUAGAUUUACAUAAAUAAAAUUUUACUCUAGGGUCCGAGACCAGUUAUUUCGUAGUGCAUUUCCUAAAGACAAUAAAUAAAAAUAAAAAAAAUCCAACCUUUGCUUUCUGAAUAAUAUUUUUACAGUGUGUUGUACUAAUUUUGUGACAAAUUAUAUCUAGAAAACGUCAUCAGCUCUAACUCAAAAUAUGGACACUUUUAUGUUUAAGGUUUUUUUUUUAAUCUUUUGACAGCUUUGAAAAUGCUAACUUUUAACCUUUUUAGCUGGACCAAAUCACUACAUGACUUUCAAAUUCAUGACCCAAACUUUUUUACAGUGUCAUUUCAUCCCCCUACUUGCUAUUUGAGGCAUAAAACUUGAAGAAAUAAAUUUGGAAGGGGUAUAAAAAAAAUUAGCAAGUAACACACUGUCCAGACUAGGGACUAUAUUAUUGGACAUCGAAAAUCAAGGGACGAUGACUGUGUACUCGGACCUUAUAUUAUGCAGUUAAAAAUAACAAGAGGUAGGAUAAUAACAUAGCAAUAAUACAUUCAAGUGUGAGGAGAUUGUGACUUUCAUUUGAAAAUCUAUACUCCAGUUUUUGCAAUCUGACAUGUUUUUUUUUUUUUUGGAUAGUUCUAAUUACAAGAUCUGAUGUAUUCUCUGGUAUUGUCAUCAUACAUUGUACAUGUAGUACAUGUAGAAUGUAGUUAUACAGAUUGAUGAAAAAGUGUUUUUUUUUUAAUAUUGAAUCUGAUAUAAGAUUAGGCAUGUGUUCUACCAUUAUGGUAGAAUAAAAUAGCUUUAUUUUUCUAAACAAAUUAUGAAUUUUGUUUUUUUUCUAACAUUUAAAGUAGAUAUUUGUACUACACAAUUUAAAAAAAAAUCCGUAGGUUUUGAUGUUUUUAUUUCUUUUGACAUCAAGAUUUUCAGGUUACCCGGUAUAUUGGAAGAAAUAGGAUUCGAUAAUGAUUGUUAUUUCUGCCAUGCUGUAUUUAUUGUCCUAUAGUCAUAGCCUUGUGUUUGUUAAAGUUUAAUAGUAUUAAAGUAUGUUUCGUG
Molecule: long non-coding RNA, 1448 nt
Filed under: Mytilus galloprovincialis (Mediterranean mussel)
Lineage: Eukaryota; Metazoa; Mollusca; Bivalvia; Mytilida; Mytilidae
Source: RNAcentral